This 50-nucleotide transfer RNA is filed under the name Hygrobates longiporus. RNAcentral describes it as "tRNA-Ala". The record is from RNAcentral. Lineage: Eukaryota; Metazoa; Arthropoda; Arachnida; Trombidiformes; Hygrobatidae.
AGAUAAAAUUAUUUGGAUUGCACCCAAAAACUGUUUUAAGACUUUAUCUU